Non-coding RNA from Heterocephalus glaber (naked mole-rat), 2980 nucleotides. NCBI's taxonomy places the organism in Eukaryota, Metazoa, Chordata, Mammalia, Rodentia, Bathyergidae. The record is from RefSeq and is a predicted model, not a curated record.
CCUGGGUGCCCAGGCGGGUGCGGAGCCGGCUGCGGGCCUCAGGCGAUGGGGCGAGGAAGCGAUCGGUGGGCCCUGCACCCCCGCGGGCCGCGCUGGGCUCGGAAGGGGAAUCAAUCACACGACUGCCGAGGUGUGACCAGAUGUGCCCUCGACUAUCCGCUCUGCAGGCCUCGCCUCCCGGCUCUGACGAUGUCCUCAAACCUUCUGGAAAGAGGGGACAGGCUCCCUGCCUCUCCUUUCUCCAGCCCUGGAGACAGAGCCCCUUGUAGGAUCCCAGACCCCCACUGGCUCAAGAGAGGCACACAGCAGAAGGGCCACUGUGGAAUGAACCACCCUCACCAACUCCAACUUGGAAGCAGAAACCUUCCCUUCCUGUCAUCGCCAGCAGGCAGCACCUGAGGCCACCCAGCCAGCACUCAGCUCCUGGAUCAGGCAUUCCACCUUCAGUUCUUACAGUCAGUGGAUGGAUGGAUGGAUGGAUGGAUUUACGGAUUCCUACCAAAACCCUAAGAGAUAGCACAAAACUGGAACUGAUCACAGCCCACUUGAACAGGAAGAUGAAGAGAAGGCUGCUGACGGCUUCUAGGUGUCUCUCUUGGGAUAGAAGCCGAUCAGAGCAGUUUAAUGGACGGCCAGACGUGGGUUAGAGGGAGGCCAGGGUGGCUUGUAGCCUCCCAGUGGCAAAAAGGGAGCCAGGCCCCAAAGGAGGCCAGAAACCAAAAACCCAGGGCUUUCUGAACUGUUUCAGAAAGUGGGAAGAAUAAUGGGAUAAGUGUGUUCAAAGUGAGUAUUUUGAGGACGGAGAAGGCAAUGUCUUUUACUAUAAUAAUUUUUUCCUCAUUUAAACUUUCACUGUAUUUUUUGAUCACCCCUUGUAUGUGUCUGGCCCUGGGGCUGCCAGGGGCAAACAGUCACCUCCUCUGGGUCCCCAGGUAAAGAGCCCGAUGGGGUUGCUUAUCUUCAUCCAGCCAGGUGCCCAGGUCUUAGGUUCCCAGCCAGGCUAGAGGACAGGAAGCGCCCAGAUCCUCAGGGAGGAGGUUCUUGGGUAACUAUUAAACAGCAGGAACGAACCCUACACCCUUUGAGGGGCACAAGUCAGAAAUCAAGGUGCCAGCAGGGGUGGCUCAAUUCAGGAAGACCUGGUUCCAGGGCUCUGUUCGCUUAGGCACAGGGAAGACUGGAGUCCAGCAGGUGCCACUUCCCUCUUCCUCCCAAUGCUCCAGUGCCGCUGGGCGACUUAGAGGGGUUAAAUCCGAACAGCUCACAGUGGAGUGCUUAGUUCAUGCAGUGUGGACAACAGAGACCCAUGAACCAGGGCCAACCCCUGUACUCUCUUGGCUGUGUGAUUCCACAACAGCAGGAGCUGGCAGGUGACCCAGUCGUGGGCCAGGGUCACAGGCAAGCAGUUCGUUUCUAUAUGGAUCCAAUUCUCUAUUUUGUUUGGCUAAAAAUAUUUUUUAUUAUUGGUAUAUAUUUGAGAUACAUGAAAUUUGCAUUUAUUUUGGGGAACUGAUGCAUGUAUAUCAUAUCUUGGUCAUUUCCCAUCUAUUUUCCCCCACUUUUCUAUCUCACCCUCCCUCCCUUGGCUAAAAAUUUUACUUGGAGGUUUUCCAGCCAAGUCUACCAUGAGAGCUAUAUGUAUUUCAGAAGCUCCAAGUCUGGAUUAAGGUGGGAAGCUGACCCUCUCCAUUUUAUUGGCUAUGACAGACAUCACCAAUCAAUCACAGACUCAACCCUAAGAUCACAGCCAGAAAGUAGGGCAGAGACAGGAAUCUAGGAUGCAGGAUGGCAUAAUAGAGUUUUGUUUUUAUUUGUUUUUUGGUACUGGGGAUCGAACUCGGGUCCUUGCGCUUGCGCAGCAGGGGGCGAAACCACUGAGCCAAAUCCCCGGCCCAAUAGAGUUAUUUUCUUAAUUUCUUUCUUUCUUUCUUUCUUUUUCUUUUUCUUUCCUUCUUUCUUUUCUUUUUUCAGUACUGGGAAUUGAAUGCAAGGACUUCACAUUUAACUGCAUCUGUAGCUUGUUUAAAAUUUUUUAUUUUUCAUUUCAUUUUUUAAUUUAUUUGGUGUUUCAAGACAAGGUCUCACUCUACAUUUUAGGCUGCUCUUAAACUCACUAUAUAGCCCAGUCUGGCCUCCUACUAGAAAUCCUUCUCCCUCAGCCUCCCGAGGUCUAGGAUUAUCGGCACGUGCCACCACGCCUGGCUUUUAGGCAGCCUUUGUCAAUUCUUAUUCUCUAUUUCUCACCUAAAUCUUUCCGUGCCGCCAUGUUUUGUCACAUGGACAGACACACAUGAGUCCCAGGAGACAGAGUGGCUCUUGUCAUCUAGGUGUGGCCUGCCCCUCCGCCUGGACAUCCUUCCUGCCUGGGCCUGGUCACCACUCCUGUCUUAGGGACACAGCCCAUCUUUCAUAGCACCAUGGGUUCAUCCCCACAAGCUUAGGGCCCGAGAGUCCCCUUCCUGCUCAUUCCUGAUCUACACUGCCUCUUGGGUCAUCGUGUUCGCCGCAGGGGGACCUAUUGCGCCUUGCCUCCCGCCCUGUCCCACAGCCCCUGUCAUGUUGCGUGAGUGUUACUGAAGUAAGUAAUUAGCUCAUUCCUGGGGGUCAUUCUAAACAUUUCAAUACAAGCGGCAAAACAACAACAAAGGUUUUGUUUUUUGUUUUUCCUAUACAAAGCAUCAUUUCCUUAAGAGGAAUUUCUGGAAGUGAGAUAAUUCAUUGCUGGAUUUGGGGCAGGGGGGAAUAAAGAUAAUGGUAGGCUGAGGCAGGAGGACUAUAAGUUCAAGCCCAGCCUGGGCUACUUAGCAAGAACGUGGCUCAAAAUUUAAAAAAAAAAAAAAAAAUUAGAAAGGACGGGGGUGCAGCUCAGUGUGAACCCUCACUACUGAAAACGGCAGACGGGGCACCAUCCGCUGAACAGGCACGCACUGGGUGAGGGAAGCCCUGGCGGCUGGUGCGGACGUUGUGCCCCAGGAUGCGU